AAAUUGAAGAGUUUGAUCAUGGCUCAGAUUGAACGCUGGCGGCAGGCCUAACACAUGCAAGUCGAACGGUAACAGGAAGCAGCUUGCUGCUUCGCUGACGAGUGGCGGACGGGUGAGUAAUGUCUGGGAAACUGCCUGAUGGAGGGGGAUAACUACUGGAAACGGUGGCUAAUACCGCAUAACGUCGCAAGACCAAAGAGGGGGACCUUCGGGCCUCUUGCCAUCAGAUGUGCCCAGAUGGGAUUAGCUUGUUGGUGAGGUAACGGCUCACCAAGGCGACGAUCCCUAGCUGGUCUGAGAGGAUGACCAGCCACACUGGAACUGAGACACGGUCCAGACUCCUACGGGAGGCAGCAGUGGGGAAUAUUGCACAAUGGGCGCAAGCCUGAUGCAGCCAUGCCGCGUGUAUGAAGAAGGCCUUCGGGUUGUAAAGUACUUUCAGCGGGGAGGAAGGUGUUGUGGUUAAUAACCGCAGCAAUUGACGUUACCCGCAGAAGAAGCACCGGCUAACUCCGUGCCAGCAGCCGCGGUAAUACGGAGGGUGCAAGCGUUAAUCGGAAUUACUGGGCGUAAAGCGCACGCAGGCGGUCUGUCAAGUCGGAUGUGAAAUCCCCGGGCUCAACCUGGGAACUGCAUUCGAAACUGGCAGGCUUGAGUCUUGUAGAGGGGGGUAGAAUUCCAGGUGUAGCGGUGAAAUGCGUAGAGAUCUGGAGGAAUACCGGUGGCGAAGGCGGCCCCCUGGACAAAGACUGACGCUCAGGUGCGAAAGCGUGGGGAGCAAACAGGAUUAGAUACCCUGGUAGUCCACGCCGUAAACGAUGUCUACUUGGAGGUUGUGCCCUUGAGGCGUGGCUUCCGGAGCUAACGCGUUAAGUAGACCGCCUGGGGAGUACGGCCGCAAGGUUAAAACUCAAAUGAAUUGACGGGGGCCCGCACAAGCGGUGGAGCAUGUGGUUUAAUUCGAUGCAACGCGAAGAACCUUACCUGGUCUUGACAUCCACGGAACUUUCCAGAGAUGGAUUGGUGCCUUCGGGAACUGUGAGACAGGUGCUGCAUGGCUGUCGUCAGCUCGUGUUGUGAAAUGUUGGGUUAAGUCCCGCAACGAGCGCAACCCUUAUCCUUUGUUGCCAGCGGUUAGGCCGGGAACUCAAAGGAGACUGCCAGUGAUAAACUGGAGGAAGGUGGGGAUGACGUCAAGUCAUCAUGGCCCUUACGACCAGGGCUACACACGUGCUACAAUGGCGCAUACAAAGAGAAGCGACCUCGCGAGAGCAAGCGGACCUCAUAAAGUGCGUCGUAGUCCGGAUUGGAGUCUGCAACUCGACUCCAUGAAGUCGGAAUCGCUAGUAAUCGUGGAUCAGAAUGCCACGGUGAAUACGUUCCCGGGCCUUGUACACACCGCCCGUCACACCAUGGGAGUGGGUUGCAAAAGAAGUAGGUAGCUUAACCUUCGGGAGGGCGCUUACCACUUUGUGAUUCAUGACUGGGGUGAAGUCGUAACAAGGUAACCGUAGGGGAACCUGCGGUUGGAUCACCUCCUUACCUUAAAGAA
This 1552-nucleotide ribosomal RNA is filed under the name Salmonella enterica subsp. enterica serovar Bareilly str. CFSAN000968. Its description in RNAcentral is "bacterial SSU rRNA". It matches the Rfam family "Bacterial small subunit ribosomal RNA". The record is from RNAcentral. Lineage: Bacteria; Pseudomonadati; Pseudomonadota; Gammaproteobacteria; Enterobacterales; Enterobacteriaceae.